Molecule: ribosomal RNA, 1510 nt
Filed under: Klebsiella sp.
Lineage: Bacteria; Pseudomonadati; Pseudomonadota; Gammaproteobacteria; Enterobacterales; Enterobacteriaceae
Description: bacterial SSU rRNA
Rfam family: Bacterial small subunit ribosomal RNA
Source: RNAcentral
CUUUUUCCCUUAGAUUGACGCUGCGGCAGGCCUAACACAUGCAAGUCGAGCGGUAGCACAGAGAGCUUGCUCUCGGGUGACGAGCGGCGGACGGGUGAGUAAUGUCUGGGAAACUGCCUGAUGGAGGGGGAUAACUACUGGAAACGGUAGCUAAUACCGCAUAACGUCGCAAGACCAAAGUGGGGGACCUUCGGGCCUCAUGCCAUCAGAUGUGCCCAGAUGGGAUUAGCUAGUAGGUGGGGUAACGGCUCACCUAGGCGACGAUCCCUAGCUGGUCUGAGAGGAUGACCAGCCACACUGGAACUGAGACACGGUCCAGACUCCUACGGGAGGCAGCAGUGGGGAAUAUUGCACAAUGGGCGCAAGCCUGAUGCAGCCAUGCCGCGUGUGUGAAGAAGGCCUUCGGGUUGUAAAGCACUUUCAGCGGGGAGGAAGGCGGUGAGGUUAAUAACCUCAUCGAUUGACGUUACCCGCAGAAGAAGCACCGGCUAACUCCGUGCCAGCAGCCGCGGUAAUACGGAGGGUGCAAGCGUUAAUCGGAAUUACUGGGCGUAAAGCGCACGCAGGCGGUCUGUCAAGUCGGAUGUGAAAUCCCCGGGCUCAACCUGGGAACUGCAUUCGAAACUGGCAGGCUAGAGUCUUGUAGAGGGGGGUAGAAUUCCAGGUGUAGCGGUGAAAUGCGUAGAGAUCUGGAGGAAUACCGGUGGCGAAGGCGGCCCCCUGGACAAAGACUGACGCUCAGGUGCGAAAGCGUGGGGAGCAAACAGGAUUAGAUACCCUGGUAGUCCACGCCGUAAACGAUGUCGAUUUGGAGGUUGUGCCCUUGAGGCGUGGCUUCCGGAGCUAACGCGUUAAAUCGACCGCCUGGGGAGUACGGCCGCAAGGUUAAAACUCAAAUGAAUUGACGGGGGCCCGCACAAGCGGUGGAGCAUGUGGUUUAAUUCGAUGCAACGCGAAGAACCUUACCUGGUCUUGACAUCCACAGAACUUUCCAGAGAUGGAUUGGUGCCUUCGGGAACUGUGAGACAGGUGCUGCAUGGCUGUCGUCAGCUCGUGUUGUGAAAUGUUGGGUUAAGUCCCGCAACGAGCGCAACCCUUAUCCUUUGUUGCCAGCGGUCCGGCCGGGAACUCAAAGGAGACUGCCAGUGAUAAACUGGAGGAAGGUGGGGAUGACGUCAAGUCAUCAUGGCCCUUACGACCAGGGCUACACACGUGCUACAAUGGCAUAUACAAAGAGAAGCGACCUCGCGAGAGCAAGCGGACCUCAUAAAGUAUGUCGUAGUCCGGAUUGGAGUCUGCAACUCGACUCCAUGAAGUCGGAAUCGCUAGUAAUCGUAGAUCAGAAUGCUACGGUGAAUACGUUCCCGGGCCUUGUACACACCGCCCGUCACACCAUGGGAGUGGGUUGCAAAAGAAGUAGGUAGCUUAACCUUCGGGAGGGCGCUUACCACUUUGUGAUUCAUGACUGGGGUGAGUCUAAAAGGGGAAAAAAACCAAAAAAGACCCCCCC